This 87-nucleotide transfer RNA is filed under the name Lentisphaeria bacterium. RNAcentral describes it as "tRNA-Leu". It matches the Rfam family "tRNA". Rfam says of the family: Transfer RNA (tRNA) molecules are approximately 80 nucleotides in length. Their secondary structure includes four short double-helical elements and three loops (D, anti-codon, and T loops). The record is from RNAcentral. Lineage: Bacteria; Pseudomonadati; Lentisphaerota; Lentisphaeria.
GCCCGGAUGGCGGAAUUGGCAUACGCAACAGACUUAAAAUCUGUCGCCCGAAAGGGCUUGUGGGUUCGAGUCCCACUCCGGGUACCA